RNAcentral lists this ribosomal RNA (253 nucleotides) under uncultured bacterium. RNAcentral's name for it is "partial 16S ribosomal RNA". It matches the Rfam family "Bacterial small subunit ribosomal RNA", at positions 524 to 776 of the family's 1533-position model. The record is from RNAcentral.
UACAGAGGUGGCAAGCGUUGUUCGGAAUUAUUGGGCGUAAAGGGCGCGUAGGCGGCCUGCUAAGUCGAACGUGAAAUCCCCGGGCUCAACCCGGGAACUGCGUCCGAUACUGGCAGGCUUGAAUCCGGGAGAGGGAUGCGGAAUUCCAGGUGUAGCGGUGAAAUGCGUAGAUAUCUGGAGGAACACCGGUGGCGAAGGCGGCAUCCUGGACCGGCAUUGACGCUGAGGCGCGAAAGCCAGGGGAGCAAACGGG